This is a long non-coding RNA of Canis lupus familiaris (dog), 1519 nucleotides long. RefSeq lists it as uncharacterized. The record is from RefSeq and is a predicted model, not a curated record. NCBI's taxonomy places the organism in Eukaryota, Metazoa, Chordata, Mammalia, Carnivora, Canidae. The transcript is spliced from 6 exons.
AUAAAAAGUUACCUCUGUGGAGACUUUGCCGGGGGGGCCCUGUGCCCGGGUGGGGCUGCAGGCAGCCUGGUGCCAGCUCUUGCCCUCCUGAAGGAACCCUCCUUCCAACAGGCGAGGGUAACAGGUGCCAUUCUGUUGCCAAGCGGGCCAUUGUGUCAAAUGCUCACCGCUCUUACUUAAAAUUAACCAAACGUGUUUUGGUGAGAAAAAAGAAAUCCUACUUCACUAGCUUAGUUGUUUGUUUUUCCAAAUCUCUGUAGGUAGGUUGAUUGUUACCCUUGAGGGAAAUGGGGAAAUGGCUAAACACCCAGCCUUCUGACCAACUCUUGGGGGAAGGAAGCCACAAGACACAUGGAGGACCUGAAGGAACGUCUUCCACGCUUUCAGACUGUAUGUUUGCAUUUGCAGAAACCCCAAGACUCCAGCCCAGCUGCCCGAAUCCACGUAAACAUAUCUGUGGAGGUGAUGACCCACAUGCUCCCUCCCUUUGGCAUGUUCAGUUUUUGGCGACGAGGGGUAACAACUUGGAAUUGCUUUUUCUCCUUUGCCUCAGUGGUGAUAAUGUGUCAUCUAGUGCGUCCCAUGUCACACGUUCUUGUCGGCGAGCUCGGAAAUCCUGUUUGGCCUUGGAAGUGCGUGGAUCACGUGAGGGGAACUGCAUGAUGAUGGAAAGUUCUGGACGUCAGGAAUCAGCUGAAAUGAGUGGGAUUGGCCAUGGGCUCACAAAAGCCGAAUUUCUAUAAUCGACGAGGAGAUUCCUGGAAAGCGUCGAAGAUAAAACUGUAGGGAGAGUCUUGGCCUGAUCACUGCAAUGUAAAAUGGGAGGAGAAUACAGUACUUGGGGACGUGAGAACCCUCAGGAGUGGGAAGAGACCAGGGUGGAAGCUAACGCUUGAUGAACAGGGAGUUCUGGCCAGACAUAUCGGGUGCACUGACAUUCCAUCCUCGGAUCGGGCCCCAUCAGGGUUCAAAAAUCAGAACAGCAUAUGGCGAGAAUUCUUCUUUGUACUCCUGACCCAUCGUCUUCUCGAGGAAAAGAAGAAACAGGACUUUUACACUUCAGGGUGAGUGCCUCAUCAGUGGACACGGACUUCCUUCUGGUGCCUUCUAAGGCUGGAUGCUGCUGGAACCAAGGACCUUGAGCUGUCCUUCAUCCCUGCAUUUCUUCCCAGGACCUCUGCCCUCACUCAGCUGCUUUUGGCAGCUCCUGUGCAUUCUUUGAAGUCUGCAGCUUAUCUCUCCCUCCUAGUUUCCCUAAAAAUGUGGAGUUCAGAGCUUUGUGGUUCAUUUUGUGUUUUUUUUUUUUUUUUGUUUUUGCUUUGUUUUGUUUGUUUUUUUUCACUUUUCUUAUUUCACUUCCGUGAUUCUAGGACAGGAUUACAUGCCCCACUCAUACUGGGAGUCUGCCUUCAGCUUUUAUUGUGUAUAUGUUUAUAUAAUUUCAAGGUUUUGGGGUUUUGAGGGGUUUUUUGUUGCCUUUGUUUUUCUUUUUUUGCUACAGAAAUAUUGUAGUUUGGUU